Molecule: ribosomal RNA, 590 nt
Filed under: uncultured bacterium
Lineage: Bacteria
Description: bacterial SSU rRNA
Rfam family: Bacterial small subunit ribosomal RNA
Source: RNAcentral
UCCUACGGGAGGCAGCAGUAGGGAAUCUUCCGCAAUGGACGAAAGUCUGACGGAGCAACGCCGCGUGAGUGAUGAAGGCUUUCGGGUCGUAAAACUCUGUUGUUAGUGAAGAACAAGUGCUAGUUGAAUAAGCUGGCACCUUGACGGUACCUAACCAGAAAGCCACGGCUAACUACGUGCCAGCAGCCGCGGUAAUACGUAGGUGGCAAGCGUUAUCCGGAAUUAUUGGGCGUAAAGCGCGCGCAGGUGGUUUCUUAAGUCUGAUGUGAAAGCCCACGGCUCAACCGUGGAGGGUCAUUGGAAACUGGGAGACUUGAGUGCAGAAGAGGAAAGUGGAAUUCCAUGUGUAGCGGUGAAAUGCGUAGAGAUAUGGAGGAACACCAGUGGCGAAGGCGACUUUCUGGUCUGUAACUGACACUGAGGCGCGAAAGCGUGGGGAGCAAACAGGAUUAGAUACCCUGGUAGUCCACGCCGUAAACGAUGAGUGCUAAGUGUUAGAGGGUUUCCGCCCUUUAGUGCUGAAGUUAACGCAUUAAGCACUCCGCCUGGGGAGUACGGCCGCAAGGCUGAAACUCAAAGGAAUUGACGGA